UUUUGUCUAACAUUGUCCCAAGUUGUUGACAAUUGUCAAUCAUUUACGUGUUUGUGAAUCACCUUGAUCUCUUUAAACGACGAUCGUGAUCGUACAUUAGGAUUCCCCGAACAUCGCAUUGCUGUAAUUACACCACGUUUACGAUAUCUAUAACACGUACAUAUAUAUAUAUGCUGACAUAUACGAGAACACGGUGAAUUAUGACUAAAUUAUUCGUUCUUUGAUUUCCAAUUUCCACGAUAUAAAAUUAUAGAUGUAAAAUUAUCAAAAAUGUAAUAUACAAUGGCUACAAAAACUAUUCAUACUUGUAUUUUUCAUAUUAUAUUUAUAUAUUACAUAUUAUAGUUUGAUAUGAAACUUAAUAUGCUAGUUCUUAAUUAAUUAAUACGUAAAUACUAUAAUAAGCAAAAUGAUGUAAGAAUACUUUUUAUAGUCACUGCAUAUUCUUCUUUGAAGUUGCACUGUAAAUAUUUAAUAGUAAGUGAGAUUAUUCGUCUUGCAGCACGAAAGUCUCGAGACGUGACGAUAAUCGCACAUUUCAAAAUAUAGAAUCACCUGAAGAACAAAGUAAACACCAAGCGUGGAAACAUAUCGUAUGAAAGUUAAUGUCUUGAAAUUUCGAGCCAGUUAUCAAAUUUGUAGCAAUGCUACAAUUGAUUGAGAGAUUGAUUAUCUUAAUUAGGACCUCAUGCUAUCUUAAGUCUCAAAGUUUUCGUGUCGGUAAUAUCGACCAAUUGAAAUAACCUAUAAGUGUUUUUGUUUAUAACUGUCAUGUCGUAUCACACUGUCAAACACACUAUAUAACGAAAAACGGGAAGUAAUUUAGAACCACUUACAAAUCUAUAAGAUCUUAUAUAUCUUAUCAAAUGAUCUAAUAUAUGAGUUUUUUUAUUUUUCUUUCACCUCUAGAAAUAUCUCUCGAGUCUUUAUCAUUUUAUUUCUGUGAUGUCGUAAUUAAGCGUUAUCGAUCACGUCAAUCGAGUACUGUGAAAUUUUAUCGGAUAAACCUGCGAAUUGAUCGAUAUUAGAAUUUUCGGUGACAUUGGCGCGAUAGGGAGCCAAACAGAUUAUGUAGAACCCAGGUUGGUCAACGUGACAAGGUUACAGACCAAUUAAGGAGAGACGCAGUGGUACCGUGUCCCCAUUGCGCGAUCCCCCUCGAACGAGCCUUUGCGUAAUGUCUUUAUUUACAAACCAUAUGCGAACCAUAUAGCAAUUUCACCAACCAGGCUACUGAUGCCUGACACCAGGUAAGGCCGACGAUAUGUUCCGCGUGUCUUUAGCCAAAUUUACAUUUUUUAGUUUUCGAUAACCAUUGAAAAACACUGUUUUUGUCCAAAAUGACCAUGAAUUGAGCUGAUAUAGUGUACUAUAGCUUUCAUCUUUCACAUUCACUGUAGAUGAGUCAUUCACGAUGAUCCUCCAAAACGGUAGGUGUAAAUUCAGCUUGAAUCGCCGAUCGAACCGUAAUCAUUGAUAAACGACCAUAAUCUGAACCGUUCCCUAUGUAAAGUGAAGUAAGUUCAUAGAAACUUGUAAACUUACAGAAUUUUUUAAGAAUGAUACCACCUCUUUAUGAAUCGUAAAAUUAACGGUGUAUUGUGAGCUUUAAGAGAAAGGAAAAGGAAAUAAGAAAAAUGGAGGUGAAGCUGUAGAAGAGAAAAAUCUAAAUUUCAGAUGAACAAGUUUCGAAUAAACAAACAUUCAAUGUAAAAAUAGUAUGACUAUUCAUCCAGAUUUCGUCAACGUCAUGCAUUGUUUGUCACGUGAAUUUUAUAUUUGAAAACAGCGAUAAAUUAAAAUAUUUUAACACUGUUAUCUAAAUCAUUGAUCCAAUUGAAAAUUAAUCGAUCCAUGAAAUUUAUCUUAUUUUAAUCAUUCUUAAAAAUUUAGUCACUUGGGUCACCUGUUAACACCGCAAUAGUCAACAUGUUAAACCGGAUUAAUCUCGAUCAAUCCGGAUUAUCGGGAUUGAAUGAUCCAAAUCCGGAUUAUCGAGUUCCGUAUUCAUUUUAUUAAUUAUGGAAAAAAGGAGAAAUGAAAUUUCAUUGAUGUAAUUAUAAUUUGUAAGAAAUUAUUUGGAUUAGCGAAACUCGAUUGCGCAUGAUGUCAGACUGCGAUUAAUGUGCAAACACAUUUCGAUCGGACGUCUCGACAAAGUAUUUGUUAUACAAACAUAAUCUUCUAUUGAACAAACUCGUGAUUCAAAUAUAAUAUUUAUAUAACAAAUCAAGCAAUUAUUAUACAUGCAGUUAUAGACAACUUGAUAUCAAUUAAUCAAGAAUUUCAGCGGCGGUCCUUUCUACACAAUGUUUGUUGCACUACCGGAGUAUAUCGCAUACGUGUUACGUACAUAUGUGAGUAUCGAUGGCAACUCGUUGAUCCUUGAAAUCUAUAUUUUCACUUUUAUAACCGUCGUCAUAAAAAGGGAACAAUAACGACGUAACGAGAACGAGUUAUAAAAACAGAUAAAACAGAAAAAAUGAACUCAACACAGUGGAAUGGAAACAAUGGUAAAUAAUUGAAAUGCCUUGAGAAAAAAUUUAUGUGUGAACAGGUAUAGAGAUAACCGUAAUUAAAUCCGCUUUUUCUACGAACAGACAAUUAGCAUUACGUGACAUCCAGAAAAACCAAAAUAUUUCGCGAAGUUAAUCUCUUGCAAAAUUCUUUUUAGCUGAUACGUAUUCUUAGUUGGAGUAUCAAAUAUUACACACGUAGCCAGGUAUGCGGAUUGAAAGUAUGUACUAAUGAAGGAGAAAGGAGUUUUUUUGUAUCUGCACUACACAACUACAGAGUAAAUGAAAAUCAUGCACGUAACAAACGCUAUACACGUAAAUACGGAUCACGUAACGUAUAAUCUUACUAAAAAUUCUUUUCUUUUAAAGAAGUACUGUCUUGAUCAAUGGUCAGCGUAUCUCCAAUACUUCUUAGUGUUACUGUCUCACUUCAUUUCUAUAUCUAUCUUAGACCACGUAGCAGAAUUCUUGUAAGCCAUUACUGGCAUGGACCAGAUUCAGUUCUAAUCUGUGAUCAGUUAGAAAAGCAAUACUAUAUCUUCUAAAACCUAUAUUUUUGAAAGUAGCUGAUAUCUUUUAAAUCUUAUGUUCGAUAAACUGACAAAAUAAAUCAAUGACGUUCCGAUGAAACAAAUAAAUUACUCAAAUUAUCACUCAGAUUUAUUAAUUAAUUUGUUAUAUAAUUCAAUAAUAAAAAUUGAAAGAUUGCAGUUAAAAACAGGUGACAUUUGGUCUUCUUAUCAUAUCGCUCCAUUUGCAAACUUGGAUAAGAAAUCUAAGAAUAAUAUAUCGUCGUUCUUAAUCGUAGAAUUAUGAUUAAAAAUAAAACUGCAUUUUUUAUUGCAAAUCGUUAAUCAUGUUAAAUGAAAGUAGAAUAUUGUCAAUUUUUACCAUUAAUUACCUAUCACUCUAUUUACACGAAACUGACAUAAAUGAAUAAGCAUCCUUUGAGUUUCUUCAUUCCCGAAAAUGAACAAUUAAUAUUUUAUCUCAGGUUUUGAAGUGUCUCAAAGAUAGGCUCGAAUGAUUAAAAUAAGAUUAUCAAAAAUAUAUUCUGAAAUACAUACGAAAUAAAGAUAAGUUGAUAUCAAA
Long non-coding RNA from Bombus pascuorum, 3608 nucleotides. RefSeq lists it as uncharacterized. The record is from RefSeq and is a predicted model, not a curated record. The transcript is spliced from 2 exons. NCBI's taxonomy places the organism in Eukaryota, Metazoa, Arthropoda, Insecta, Hymenoptera, Apidae.